GUCAGUGACAGUUGUUUUUAUUCUCUCCCUUUUAGAGCAGAUAAAAGUAGAAUCAUCAGCCACAACGGUAACAUAUGUGGAUUCAUUUCCCAAUGUGACUGUUCCCUGAUAGGCCUUCUGGUUUGGAAGUAAAGAGAAGGCUGAAGGGGAAGUAAGAUAUGUGAGAACUUCUUCAGGCAAGGUUGAAGCAGAAGAUGAGGAUGUAACAAACAGCAACAUGCCUUAGUUCCAGAAAACCUGUGAAUGUUUUCCCACAACCCUACAUCUGUAUCACUGGAGUUUUGUUUUGUAAUGAUGUUGUUGC
Long non-coding RNA from Gymnodraco acuticeps, 304 nucleotides. RefSeq lists it as uncharacterized. NCBI's taxonomy places the organism in Eukaryota, Metazoa, Chordata, Actinopteri, Perciformes, Bathydraconidae. The transcript is spliced from 3 exons. The record is from RefSeq and is a predicted model, not a curated record.